This 484-nucleotide ribosomal RNA is filed under the name uncultured bacterium. RNAcentral describes it as "partial 16S ribosomal RNA". It matches the Rfam family "Bacterial small subunit ribosomal RNA", at positions 30 to 507 of the family's 1533-position model. The record is from RNAcentral.
AUUGAACGCUGGCGGCAGGCCUAACACAUGCAAGUCGAGCGGAUGAAGGGAGCUUGCUCCUGGAUUCAGCGGCGGACGGGUGAGUAAUGCCUAGGAAUCUGCCUGGUAGUGGGGGAUAACGUCCGGAAACGGGCGCUAAUACCGCAUACGUCCUGAGGGAGAAAGUGGGGGAUCUUCGGACCUCACGCUAUCAGAUGAGCCUAGGUCGGAUUAGCUAGUUGGUGGGGUAAAGGCCUACCAAGGCGACGAUCCGUAACUGGUCUGAGAGGAUGAUCAGUCAACCUAGAACUUAGACACGGUCCAGACUCCUACGGGAGGCAGCAGUGGGGAAUAUUGGACAAUGGGCGACAGCCUGAUCCAGCCAUGCCGCGUGUGUGAAGAAGGUCUUCGGAUUGUAAAGCACUUUAAGUUGGGAGGAAGGGCAGUAGGUAAAUACCUUGCUGUUUUGACGUUACCAACAGAAUAAGCACCGGCUAACUUCGUG